Anas platyrhynchos (mallard) is the source of this 2064-nucleotide long non-coding RNA. RefSeq lists it as uncharacterized. NCBI's taxonomy places the organism in Eukaryota, Metazoa, Chordata, Aves, Anseriformes, Anatidae. The record is from RefSeq and is a predicted model, not a curated record.
UAGGAAAGUUUUAUAGCGUAGGAGAGAAUGUUCAAGAGGCAGUGCUGGGUUAGUUGUAGAGGUAGUAAGCAAAGCCAGGUGUUUGAAGCUAUCAAGAGAGAAGAGAUUUAUAGGCCUCUUCAAUAGACAAAAAACUACAUUCUUCUUCUGCCUGUAGGGCUUAAACUAAGACUGCUGAGUUGUCUUUCAGUGAUCCUACUGCAGGACAUCAAUUGUAAAAAGUUGGGGUAGCAAAAAUGACUUCUGCCAUGCAGUCUCCAUGACAGGCAGCAGUGUUGGAGCUUCAAGAGGAAGGACAAACCAUUACUUCUUGCCUUGCUCUAACCUGCAUACCAGGAUCCUCUUCCCUGAGUCAGCCUUGCAGAUGUGGUUACACUGGUUUAAAAAUGCAAGUGUGAGAGCUGGCCCGACAGACUAGCAAUGACAAGGUUAAACUACGGAUGUUUAGGAAAUCCAAGCAGGCUGCCUGUGCCACAACAAAGCAAUGCUGGCUAUGGCUACCUGUUUCAGCAGACUUCUCCUCCUGUCUUCCACGGGGCCCAGGGACUCAGCUGUGCCCUGCAAAGCUUCCUGUUUACAAUCACGCAUCCUCCGAAAACAGCGCACGCUCUGCUUCCCACAUCUCUGAAGCCCUACAAGGAUCCAAUAACAUCCUGUGACUUGCCGUCACUGCAGCCCUUGUUUUUCUGAGAACUGGCGGGAGAAGGCUCUCACAGGAUUGUUAACAAUCGGUCAUCACCUUUUGGAUGUGUCAGACUGCCGAGGACUCCAGGCUUAACUGACAAGGAAACAAUAUCAGCAAAACGUUUGGACUUUGUUCCUGCCAUAUAUUGGUUCACAGUGUAUUACGGCAGUUAGUGCACUUCCUAUGGGGAGGAAACAUUUUGAUUUAAGGCUGGAUCUUACGUAGCCUCCAGAGCACUGGUUGAACUGGGACAGUAGCAUGAUUCAGUACUGAAUGGUCUUGGCAAUUGCACAGCUUGUCUGCCCUGGUUGUCUCCUCACGGUUACAGCCAAGUUACGUGCACCAUCUGGAUCCUGCCAGCACCACAGCCUCCUUGAGGAGAAAAAAAAAUCUGGUCUCCAGCUCCAUCCAAAGAGGAGCCCAGAUUAAGUUUUCAUUCCUCCCGUUUCUUCCUCUGUCCUCUGCCCUGCAAAACAAGCCUGGUGUCCUCAGUGGUUCCUUAACAGCACUCACGAGAGAAUGAACUGGCAACGAUGAACUGGAAUUUAAAGAGCGAAAUACUCCCUAGUAUUAAAAAUAAAAUAUAAGAAAUGAGCUAUCUGGUACUGUAGGUAGUAACCCUCUUCUUCUAGGAGCUGCUUUUGUGUCAUCAACAAACAAAUAAAUAAAUAAAUAAAACUGAGCAUGCUCUUUUUUCAAAAGUAUGGUAGCUCCUGAUUAUGUAACCCAAAUCUGACCCCAGCCUUGCACCCACUUCUCAAGGGAAGAAGGCUGGUGCAGCAGGCAGCACCGCCUCCUGCAGCUCUACAUGGCUGGGCAGGGAGCUUCACUGCCUCUGCCCCCAGUCCUGAGAGCAGUGGGGUGCUGGUGCCUCCAUGUUUGUGAUAUAUAUCAUGUGGAGAGAAAAAAAAAAAAAAAGUGGGAUUUGGCUUUAAUGAACAAAUCUAGCUCUGCCAUGUAGCAUUGAGAUUGCAUGAGGUUUGGAAUGCAUAUGGCUCUUGUUUAAAGGCUACAUCUAAUUAAGGCUCUCCAAACAUUUGGGAUUGUAGAUUCCUCAUAACCUUUCCAUUGUUCUUGAAGUCAAAAUAGCAGCAGCCUUAACCACGCAUACCAUAUCAUCAACAAGACUGCAGUUUAAAAGAAAGACUAUAAUUUGCACACCACUAGAUAAAAUGUAUACUCUAGAAAUUCUUUCCAACAUAUUAAAUGAUUUAAUAGGAAGUAGAACUUAACAAAAAUAUAGUUGCUAUAAGUCUCAAAGACCCACCCACAAUCUCUUAUGAAGAAAAAAAAUAUUUUCAAAUACAAAAAAUCUGAAGGUAAUAAUCUUAAAAGAUUGAAUUCAUACAAAACCCAAAUCUACUGCUAAAGGAGAGUAA